This 442-nucleotide ribosomal RNA is filed under the name uncultured soil bacterium. Its description in RNAcentral is "bacterial SSU rRNA". It matches the Rfam family "Bacterial small subunit ribosomal RNA", at positions 26 to 518 of the family's 1533-position model. The record is from RNAcentral.
AGAGCGAACGCUGGCGGCAGGCCUAACACAUGCAAGUCGAACGGACUCUUCGGAGUUAGUGGCGGACGGGUGAGUAACACGUGGGAACGUGCCUUUUGGUUCGGAAUAGCUCCUGGAAACGGGUGGUAAUGCCGAAUGUGCCCUUCGGGGGAAAGAUUUAUCGCCAUUAGAGCGGCCCGCGUCUGAUUAGCUAGUUGGUGAGGUAAAGGCUCACCAAGGCGACGAUCAGUAGCUGGUCUGAGAGGAUGACCAGCCACAUUGGGACUGAGACGCGGCCCAAACUCCUACGGGAGGCAGCAGUGGGGAAUCUUGCGCAAUGGGCGAAAGCCUGACGUCAGCCAUGCCGCGUGAAUGAUGUAGGUCUUAGGAUUGUAAAAUUCUUUCACCGGGACGAUAAUGACGGUACCGAGAAGAAGCCCGGCAACUUCGCGCCAGCAGCCGC